UUCGGGGGGACGAGGGUGACAGGUGGUGCAUGGUUGUCGUCAGCUCGUGUCGUGAGAUGUUGGGUUAAGUCCCGCAACGAGCGCAACCCUCGACCUUAGUUGCCAGCAUUCAGUUGGGCACUCUAAGGUGACUGCCGGCUAAAAGUCGGAGGAAGGUGGGGGAUGACGUCAAAUCAUCAUGCCCCUUAUGACCUGGGCUACACACGUGCUACAAUGGGCGGUACAAAGGGUCGCGAACCCGCGAGGGGGAGCCAAUCCCAAAAAGCCGCUCUCAGUUCGGAUUGCAGGCUGCAACUCGCCUGCAUGAAGCCGGAAUCGCUAGUAAUCGCGGAUCAGCAUGCCGCGGUGAAUACGUUCCCGGGCCUU
This 366-nucleotide ribosomal RNA is filed under the name uncultured Anoxybacillus sp. RNAcentral describes it as "bacterial SSU rRNA". It matches the Rfam family "Bacterial small subunit ribosomal RNA", at positions 1016 to 1382 of the family's 1533-position model. The record is from RNAcentral. Lineage: Bacteria; Bacillati; Bacillota; Bacilli; Caryophanales; Anoxybacillaceae.